GAUGAACGCUGGCGGCGUGCCUAAUAUAUGCAAGUCGAGCGAACGGACUAGAAGCUUGCUUCUCUGAUGUUAGCGGCGGACGGGUGAGUAACACGUGGAUAACCUACCUAUAAGACUGGGAUAACUUCGGGAAACCGUAGCUAAUACCGGAUAAUAUUUUGAACCGCAUGGUUCAAAAGUGAAAGACGGUCUUGCUGUCACUUAUAGAUGGAUCCGCGCUGCAUUAGCUAGUUGGUAAGGUAACGGCUUACCAAGGCAACGAUGCAUAGCCGACCUGAGAGGGUGAUCGGCCACACUGGAACUGAGACACGGUCCAGACUCCUACGGGAGGCAGCAGUAGGGAAUCUUCCGCAAUGGGCGAAAGCCUGACGGAGCAACGCCGCGUGAGUGAUGAAGGUCUUCGGAUCGUAAAACUCUGUUAUUAGGGAAGAACAUAUGUGUAAGUAACUGUGCACAUCUUGACGGUACCUAAUCAGAAAGCCACGGCUAACUACGUG
This 497-nucleotide ribosomal RNA is filed under the name uncultured bacterium. RNAcentral's name for it is "partial 16S ribosomal RNA". It matches the Rfam family "Bacterial small subunit ribosomal RNA", at positions 28 to 507 of the family's 1533-position model. The record is from RNAcentral.